AACGCUAGCUACAGGCUUAACACAUGCAAGUCGAGGGGCAGCAUGAAACUUAACUUGCUAAGUUUUGAUGGCGACCGGCGCACGGGUGAGUAACACGUAUCCAACCUACCGUUUACUACGGGAUAGCCUUCUGAAAAGGAGAUUAAUACCGUAUAGUAUUCUAAAGUUUCAUGACAUUAGAAUUAAAGGUUUACCGGUAAUCGAUGGGGAUGCGUUCCAUUAGAUAGUAGGCGGGGUAACGGCCCACCUAGUCAGCGAUGGAUAGGGGUUCUGAGAGGAAGGUCCCCCACAUUGGAACUGAGACACGGUCCAAACUCCUACGGGAGGCAGCAGUGAGGAAUAUUGGUCAAUGGACGAGAGUCUGAACCAGCCAAGUAGCGUGAAGGAUGACUGCCCUAUGGGUUGUAAACUUCUUUUAUAAGGGAAUAAAGUCAGGUACGUGUACCUGUUUGUAUGUACCUUAUGAAUAAGCAUCGGCUAACUCCGUGCCAGCAGCCGCGGUAAUACGGAGGAUGCGAGCGUUAUCCGGAUUUAUUGGGUUUAAAGGGAGCGUAGGCGGGUUUUUUAAGUCAGUUGUGAAAGUUUGCGGCUCAACCGUAAAAUUGCAGUUGGUACUGGAAGCCUUGAGUGCGGCAGAGGCAGGCGGAAUUCGUGGUGUAGCGGUGAAAUGCUUAGAUAUCACGAAGAACUCCGAUUG
RNAcentral lists this ribosomal RNA (697 nucleotides) under uncultured bacterium. RNAcentral's name for it is "bacterial SSU rRNA". It matches the Rfam family "Bacterial small subunit ribosomal RNA", at positions 32 to 715 of the family's 1533-position model. The record is from RNAcentral.